Molecule: unclassified non-coding RNA, 375 nt
Filed under: uncultured bacterium
Lineage: Bacteria
Description: contains 16S-23S intergenic spacer region
Source: RNAcentral
UCCGGUUUGUCACCGGCAGUCUCCUAUGAGUCCCCGGCAUGACCCGCUGGCAACUAAGGACAGGGGUUGCGCUCGUUGCGCCACUUAAGGCAACGCCUCACGGCACGAGCUGACGACAGCCAUGCACCACCUGUGCAGGCUCCGAAGAGCGCCCGCUUUCACGGGUCCUACCCUGCAUGUCAAGCCCAGGUAAGGUUCUUCGCGUCGCAUCGAAUUAAGCCGCAUGCUCCGCCGCUUGUGCGGGGCCCCGUCAAUUCCUUUGAGUUUCAGUCUUGCGACCGUACUCCCCAGGCGGCGAACUUAACGCGUUAGCUUCGAUACUGCGUGCCAAAUUGCACCCAACAUCCAGUUCGCAUCGUUUAGGGCGUGGACUAC